Molecule: small nuclear RNA, 107 nt
Organism: Gracilinanus agilis (Agile Gracile Mouse Opossum)
Lineage: Eukaryota; Metazoa; Chordata; Mammalia; Didelphimorphia; Didelphidae
Source: RefSeq, a predicted model, not a curated record
GUGCUCACUUCGGCAGCACAUAUACUAAAAUUGGAACAAUACAGAGACGAUUAGUAUGGCCCCUGCUGAAGGAUGACAUGAAAAUUUGUAAAGUGUUCCAUAUUUUU